Molecule: ribosomal RNA, 497 nt
Filed under: uncultured bacterium
Lineage: Bacteria
Description: partial 16S ribosomal RNA
Rfam family: Bacterial small subunit ribosomal RNA
Source: RNAcentral
GAUGAACGCUGGCGGCGUGCCUAAUACAUGCAAGUCGAGCGGACAGACGAUGAGCUUGCGCCUCUGACGUUAGCGGCGGGCGUGUGAGUAACACGUGGAUAACCUACUUAUAAGACUGGGAUCACUUCGGGACACCGGCGCUUAUACCGUAUGAUCUAUUGCACCGCGUGGUGCAAUGGUGAAAUACGGUUGUUGUGUCUCUUCUAGAUGGAUCCGCGCCGCUUUAGCUGGUUGUUACGGUAACGGCUUACCAAGGCAAGGAUGCGUAGCCGAACUGUGGGAGUGAUCGGCGGCCUUGGAGCGUAGCCAAGGUCCAGACUCCUGCGGGAGGCAGCAGUAGGGAACGUUCCGCAAUGGGGGAAAGCAUGACGGAGCAACGCCGAGCGAGUGAUGAAGGUCUUCGGAUCGUAAAACCCUGUUAUGAGGGAAGAACAAAUGUGUAAGUAACUAUGCACGGCGUGACGGUACCUAAUCAGAAAGCCACGGCUAACUACGUG